RNAcentral lists this ribosomal RNA (235 nucleotides) under uncultured Candidatus Saccharibacteria bacterium. Its description in RNAcentral is "partial 16S ribosomal RNA". It matches the Rfam family "Bacterial small subunit ribosomal RNA", at positions 584 to 818 of the family's 1533-position model. Lineage: Bacteria; Candidatus Saccharimonadota. The record is from RNAcentral.
UAAGUGAGUAGUGAACUCGUGUGGCUCAACCAUUACGGCUAUUACUCAAACUGGCGAGCUCGAGAAUGGUAGAGGUAGCUGGAAUUUCUAGUGUAGGAGUGAAAUCCGUAGAUAUUAGAAGGAACACCAAUGGCGUAGGCAGGCUACUGGACCAUUUCUGACGCUGAGGCACGAAAGCGUGGGAGCGAACCGGAUUAGAUACCCGGGUAGUCCACGCCGUAGACGAUGGAUGCUA